Molecule: long non-coding RNA, 6132 nt
Filed under: Olea europaea subsp. europaea
Lineage: Eukaryota; Viridiplantae; Streptophyta; Magnoliopsida; Lamiales; Oleaceae
Source: RNAcentral
CUCCAGCUGGCUGCCGACAAUUGCCGCAGCAAAUGAUGUUCGUGGCCGCGCUGCCUCUGUAAUCCCCCAUGGACUUCUCUCAAGAUCAAGUCUGAUAAGGACUCAACUGAUCCGGAUGACCCGAUUAAAGAAUUUUUGAACCCCAAUGUUGCUUACGCUCUUGGGCCGAGAAUCAGUACAUGGGACGAAGACCAAAAGGUAUGGCUUCAGAAAAAAUCCUGAAUUUCCAAAUUAUGUUAAUGGUAAACCUCGGAUCUUACUUGUUACUGGCUUUGAAAUACCACUGGAAAACCCAAAAACUCAAUAACGCCAGAAUACCAUUAGCACAAAAUUUCAUUUUCUGAGAUAUUCACUUUCUUCAGAACAUCAAUUAGGAGUCUAAAGAUGGAUUAUAUUUAUUCCGUCUCCAAAUUCCAAUCCAAUUUCUCCAAUUUUGAACAGUUAUUCCGACUUCACCAUUUGCCCCACUGUUCAAGGAUAAUUACCCUCACCUUUUUGUUCGGUUUCAAAAAUUGGAUUGGAAAUUGGUGACUGCAAUGGCAGAUGGUUGGGUGGUGGAAAUUUGAUUUCGCCAUUGAUGAAGAAGCCAUGGUUUUUACUGCUGAUAAUGAGAUGGUUGGGUGGGUAGGUUAUUUUUGUCUUUGACAAUUGACAUUAUAGGUGGUGUCGACGGUGGUAGUGGUGGUGCUGGCGGUGGGUGGCCACCAAACAAGGACUAAGCCUUAAAAAAAAACUCUCUUAUCUAUCUUCCCCAAAAACCCCAUCGCCUGUCGAAAGCCCUUACUGGUUCACACACAGCCACCGCCAUCCUCAACCUCUUCAAAACCCCACCUCCAAUAUUUAUAUGUACAGUAACACGUUUAUACAGAAAGCAUAGAAAAACCCAAAUCCGAGUUCUUGUAGAAGAAAGAUGAAUUCUUGUUCCUCAAAUUGAUUAACCAAAACAAUGGGGGGCAAAAUGAGGGUUUAAGUUUGCGUUUCUCUCUCAAGACAUUUUAUAGGUUUGUAUUAUCUUUUUGAAGUAUGAAUUUGUUCAUGUUUUGACUGAAUAAUUUUGCUGCAAUGUUGUAAGCAUCAUUGUAAUUCUGCUUGUCUAAAAUCUGCCCAAAGAGUUUUCUGUUUUGUUUUGCUAUCAAUGUCUCAUUUUGCAUAUAUUUAUUAAGCGUUAUAUCUUUAUUAUGUAUAAACUCAUCUUUCAUUCUGUUCUUAUGCAUAUUAUAUAAAAAAAGAAGGAAAAAAGUUAUGGAAUGAGACGGUGUAUAUCAUUUAGUUUCUGUUGGCAACUUAAAAUGAAAGUAAAAGGAUUUGCACUAAAGAAGUUUGGCUUCACCAGUUGUGUGUACGUAAUUGUAAAAUAUAUAUUGUUAUACUAAAGUAGAUAGGUUUUGACAGAAACUUGCACUUAAAGUUAAGUCAGUUAAGUUGAAUUAUUCUUGUAUUUGUAUUAACAGCCCCACAGUCAUUCUUAUGGAAAUAAUGAAGUUUGAAAACUUGUGUGUUAGUAUUAAAUGCUUAUUGCCAGCCAAUUUUUAGGAAAGGGUUGAAUGUUUAACUUUUGAACAUUGUGAGAUAAAUAUAUUCUCUUGCACGCCUUGUUAAAAAAAACGCUUGAAUUUGAGACUAUCUUUGAAUUUUUUCAAUUCAGAUACAAUUUAUGUUGCAAGUAAGGUAAAUUUUGCCCUUUGUCAUUUUUGAUGUGGUUUAUUUGGUUCAAAAUUUUGGGUUUGGACAAUAGACUUGUGCUUUUAGUUUCAGCUACCAUGCAUUUCCACCUAUCAGUCUCUGGUAUUAUCCUACAAUAAAAUACUAACUGAUUAUAUUGGGUUAUUAAUUUUUAUUAUUUUGUAUACUCAGAUUGCUGCCAACUUGCAAAAGCAACCUUUUUCCAAAGUCUCUGCCAACCUUUUCAACUCAUUUCCGCUUAAAUUCCACUGGUGCGAGCUGCAUAGUGGCUUUAUCAGAUGGCAUUGAGCAAAGAAACGGCAAGUUUGACUUUGAGCGUUUAUUCAAUAAAUGCACUAAAACUGGUAUUGCCAAAUGCUUGCACGCCCUUCUCAUCGUGUCAGGGAUGGUCCAGAGUAUUUUCAAUGCCACCAAGCUUGUUAAUAUCUAUGCCUAUCUUGGUGAUGUUUUGUUGUCUCGAGAAACUUUUGAUCAAAUACCGAGAAAAGAUACCUAUACUUGGAAUUCGAUGUUAUCAUCUUAUGUCCGGAACGGCUGUUACCGUGAAGCGGUGAAUUGUGUGAAUGAAAUGUUAUUGACCUCUAAUGUUCAGCCUGACUUUUAUACUUUCCCUCCUGUGCUGAAAGCUUGUCGUACAAUACAUGAUGGAACGAGACUUCAUUGCUGGGUUGUCAAAAUGGGUUUUCAAUGGGAUGUGUUUGUGGCUGCUUCUUUGGUGCAUAUGUACUGCCGUUUUGGCUCUUUUGAUAUUGCACUUAAACUUUUUAAGGACAUGCCAACUCGUGAUAUGGGUUGUUGGAAUGCUGUGAUUUCUGGGUUUUGUCAAAAUGGGAAUGCUAAUGAGGCUUUGAAUGUCGUGGAUGACAUGAGAUUGGAGGGUGUAGAUAUGGAUGCGGUGACUAUUUCCAGUAUUCUUCCAAUUUGUGCACAAAAGGAUGAUUUAUUACAUGGGAUGUUGAUCCAUUUGUAUGUCAUAAAACAUGGAUUAGAGUUUGAUGUGUUUGUUUCCAAUGCGUUUAUUAAUAUGUAUGCCAAAUUCGGUAAAUUGGAGUGUGCUCAGAGGAUCUUUGAUCAGAUGGUUGUUAGAGAUUUGGUGUCAUGGAAUUCAAUAAUUGCUGUAUAUGAGCAAAAUGAUUGCCCGCAUGAUGCGUUGAUGUUCUUUUACGAGAUGCUGGGAAAUAAGUUUCAGCCUGAUGUACUGACACUGGUCAGUUUGGCUUCCACUAUAGCUCAAACCAGGGACUCAUUGUCUGGCAAAUCCAUUCAUGGAUUCAGUAUUAGAAGAUGUUGGAUAAUGGAAGACACUAUAAUUGGUAAUGCUGUUGUUGAUAUGUAUGCUAAAAUAGGUGCUCUUGAUCCUGCGCGCAAGGUUUUUGAAGAACUUCCUUGCAAAGAUGUGAUCUCAUGGAAUACAAUGAUAACAGGUUAUGCUCAAAAUGGUCUCGCAGAUGCAGCCAUUGAAGUGUACCGCCUGAUGAAAGAUUGUGAGGACUUCACUCCUAACCAAGGGACAUGGGUUAGCAUUCUACCCGCUUAUGCUCAUAUUGGGGCCUUGAUUGACGGGAUGAGAAUUCAUGGGCAGGUGUUAAAGGUGGGUAUUGACACGGAUGUCUUCCUGGGUACUUGCCUCGUUGAUCUAUAUGGAAAAUGUGGAAGACUGGGUGAUGCAAUGUUUAUGUUCUAUGAGGUGCCAAGGGUCAGCCCUGUUCCUUGGAAUGUCAUAAUAUCAUGUCAUGGACUCCAUGGACAUGGUGAGAAUUGUAUGCAGCUUUUUAGAGAUAUGUUGGAUGAAGGGGUGAUGCCUGAUCAUGUGACCUUUUUGUCAUUAUUGAGUGCUUGUAGCCAUUCGGGUUUGGUUGAUCAGGGGAAGUGGUGUUUUGAUGUGAUGCAGCACAACUAUGGGAUGAAACCUACUUUGAAGCACUAUGGGUGCAUGGUGGACCUGUUUGGUAGGGCUGGUCAAUUGGAUGUGGCGUAUAAUUUCAUUGAGCGUAUGCCUAUGAGACCUGAUGCUUCUGUAUGGGGAGCUCUUCUUGGUGCUUGUAGAACCCAUGGAAAUGUUGAGCUGGGUAAAAAGGUCUCUGAUCGCUUGUUUGAAGUUGAUUCAGAAAAUGUUGGAUACUAUGUUUUGAUGUCAAAUCUUUAUGCAAAAUUUGGUAGAUGGGAGAGGGUGGAUGAAGUGAGAUCACUAGCUAGGGACAGAGGACUGAGGAAGACUCCUGGUUGGAGCUCGAUCGACCUACACAGUAGAAUAGAAGUGUUUUAUACAGGCAAUCGAACUCAUUCGCAGCAUGAAGAGAUAUACAAGGAGUUGGCAAUUUUAAAUGCCAAAAUGAAGAGCCUUGGUUAUACUCCAGAUUAUAACUUUGUAUUACAGGAUGUUGAGGAUGACGAAAAAGAGAAUAUCCUCACAAGUCACAGUGAGAGGUUGGCUAUUAUGUACGGAAUUCUGAAUACUCCUCCUAGAACUCCCAUUCGAAUAUAUAAGAAUUUGCGAGUAUGCGGUGAUUGCCACAAUGUGACAAAAUUCAUUUCAAAGAUUAUGGAGAGAGAGAUCAUUGUCCGAGAUUCUAACCGCUUUCAUCAUUUCAAAGAUGGAAUUUGCUCCUGUGGGGAUUAUUGGUGACUCAUAGUCUGCCAUUUCUUGAUUGAGAAAAAGUGAUGAUGUCAUUUCCUUCAGGUGCUGAGGUAAUGAAAUCAAUUCUGAAUUGUAGUUUUGUUUUCCUUAUGAGUCAUACCUCUCUCCAUGCUUUUUGGUUAUGUCUAAACGUGUGUUCUUAAUACGACGCGUUUCUUUAAAAUACUUUAGUUUUAAUGACUUCAUAUAUUCCCAGGAAAUUCCUAUUUCUAGUUAUUAAAUAAUAUUCAAUUCUUAUAUUUCUUGAUCUCAUUGUUCUUGAACUUUUAUGGUGAUUAUCUUAACCUUUUUCUUUUACAUGUAUGAUAAUUUGGCCCCAAGUUCUACAUAACUAACCAAGUUGAUCCAGUUAUUCUAAAUGUGGAUAAUACAUGAGAAUUCAAUCUGCAAGACUUUUUAUGCAAACAAUGCACAUUUCAUUAUGUCGUUAACAUAUUAUUCUCUCAGAGAUUGAAUAUUCUGGCCCUUCAAAAGGUUUUGCUUUUUCUUUUUUUUCGUAAAUUUAUUUUCUCCUCCAAACUUAAUAUUCUUUUCAACUUUUGAAUACAUUCAUUACUAUUUUCUUUAAAAAAAAUUUAUUGUUUUUUAAAUUGGGGUAAUAAUCUUCCUGCUCUUUUGGCUUCUUCGACUCGUCUUCCUCUCUUCAUGGGGCAAUCAGAAAAGGAGUCUUUUUUCUCGUAGUGCCUUCCAUUCCACUAUUCUGAUUGAGAAAAAUUCUUUUCCAAACGACCAUAAUGAGAUUAAAAACCAUAUUGUCGAAUAUUACACUGAUUUAAGAGUCAGUUUAUCAAAAAGCCUAUAAAUUCUUGGCUGUUUGUGGGUAAUUUGUUCUUGUUUUGCUUUGCAUUUAAGACUUUGACUUGUUUGUCCUUUUGAGUUCUGAUCUGCAAUAUUUAGAAGGAUUUAUAUACCAAGCUUUAUCUUCUGCAAUAUUUAGUUUUCAUUGCGGUUAGAAUAUCAACUCUUAUCUUAAUUUCGUUUAUAUCUCUAAACUAAAUUUGCUGCUUAUGUUUGGGUGAGGUGUUUAGUGGCUUUUGUAAAACUAAAAAGUCUCAUGUAUCAUAAUAUACUUCAAAUGAUUAGAGCUGUCAUGAUCUGGAUGUUUGUAUCCAAUUAUCUAUAUGUUCUAUUAUUAUUGUUACCUGACUUUUUCGUCUCAUUUUCAUUGGAACUAGAUUAGAUUUUCGGUUUCGCUUAGACUGAAUAUGCAAGCUGAAAAAUGUUUCAGGACAGAUGUAAUAAGCACCAUUCUUAUGGUGCUCAGUUGGCAAAGUCGAGUAAUUGCACGGAGCCUGAAAUUGGUAUUCAAUGGGAUUAGACAGUUGGGACUUUGUCCACUUGAGACGAAAACGAAGAUAAAGAGGAGUUGUGGCUCUAACUCAACACCAUCAAUCAAUCCUGCUUCAUUACUAAACCAAAGUUGUUCUUCACCAAGCCACAGUAAACUCUCCCUCCCUCUCUCUCGCUUCAAUGUUUCUUCCUCGAAUUAUCAUUUUCUUUGUUCCUUUACUGAUGCUCUUUCUUUUCAGGUUUGUCUUGUACGAAUGAUGAAGUACAUGAUGAAGGUUUGGCUACGUGGACCUUUUUUCCACUGAGGUAAACAAGUUGGCUCCUACUAAUGAAUUAUCUCGUGUAGGGAAGUGUAUAAUUAUCGUACAUUUCGAAAUUGAGAACUUAUAUAGUUCAAUUUGAAGUAUAUAUUUCCAAAUGUACAAUUAAAUUAUUUUGAAGUAAGUUCAAACAAUGUCUGCUCCGUUUGACUUGAAACGGAGAUAAUUAGCUCCUGUUUGAUCCCCAUUAAAUUAAAUUAC